Long non-coding RNA from Pongo pygmaeus (Bornean orangutan), 806 nucleotides. RefSeq lists it as uncharacterized. NCBI's taxonomy places the organism in Eukaryota, Metazoa, Chordata, Mammalia, Primates, Hominidae. The transcript has 2 exons. The record is from RefSeq and is a predicted model, not a curated record.
GCUGGGUCUUCCAGGAGCACGCAUGAGCGGACGCUGGCUACGGGUGGCCGGUUGGGAUGUAAACGGCUGCUGAGCUGGCAGUUAUGUGUCCCGAGGCUUCCGCCCGGCAGCAGCCACACAUACGCUGCGAGGAGGAGCUUUACGACUUCCCGGUCUUCGGGGCCGGGCGCAGCAAGGGCCAGACGCUGCCCUAGCAGGCGCUCCGCGCCUACCGGCCGGCACCUGUCACAGAAGGUGCAACCGAUCGCACUGUCGCGCAGAAGCUCCUCAAUGGCCAGCUCCAGCUGCAGCCCCAGCCGCCCACUCGCCUCUCCUGAGCCUGGGCUGGAGUGCAGUGGUGUAAUCUCGGCUCACUGCAACCUCCGCCUCCUGAGUUCAAGCGAUUCUCCUGCCUCAGCCUGCCAGAGUUGCUGGGACUACAGGUGCGCACCACCACACCCAGGAGUUCAAGGCUGCAGUGAGCCAUGAUCGUGCGACUGCACUCCAGCCUGGGCAACACAGCGAGACCCUGACUCCACAAAUAAAUAAAUCAACAUCAUAUGAUCUGUACCAGGGUAUAGGCAGGUGCUAUGAUCCCCACUUUUCAUCCUCAACUCUAAGUUGAGUCAUACAUCAACCUCUAGUAAAAAGUGGCAUGCUCUCAAUCAAAGGGGUAAGCCCAAACCACGUGGAGAGAAUCUUAUCUCUUUUGAGAGCUAAUAUAAAAAGAAUUCCUCCUAGGCGUAAAAAUAUUGUGACAUCAGUUACUUAGGCUAAACAUGCCUAUUAUGCUAAGUGAGUUAUUAACAAUAAAUACUUUAACUCUG